Long non-coding RNA from Hemicordylus capensis (graceful crag lizard), 770 nucleotides. RefSeq lists it as uncharacterized. The record is from RefSeq and is a predicted model, not a curated record. The transcript has 3 exons. Lineage: Eukaryota; Metazoa; Chordata; Lepidosauria; Squamata; Cordylidae.
GGCGGAGUGGAGGUUUGUCCUCUGUGGUGAGAGGGAUGGCGGCUUGGGAGAAACUGAAGUUGAGCUGCUGAAAGAUCCGCGUUCUUGGGCUGGGUGAGGAGGCGGGACGGGGAGCUGGCAAGGGCGGCGUGGACCUAUGUGAAUUUGGACUGCCUGAAUUCCACAGAGCCAACCUGAGAAUGUACUAAAAGCUCCAGGUACCAGUACGGAGUGGGGACCUUGGCUGAGUCCAAUGGCUACAAGCAAUUCUUUUCCUGCACUUUCUCCUAUGGUUGUGAUGAAAAAUACAUUAAUUAAAUAGGACUCAUCCAGACAUCCAGCUGGACUUCACGAGUCAAAAAAUCAAGUGCAGGAGCUGGUGCAAACUACUACGUGCAACCAACUUGUAACAGAAGAUGGACUUUGCAGCAAAGACUUCAGAUCUGUCAUCACAGCAGCAAAGCAAGAACAAACGCCUUCAGAAUAACUUGGUUGUGCUGCGCAAGUCUAUCUUGCUGGAGAUUCACCUUUUGGUUUUCCCCUUGAAAACCAAAGAGCUGAUGAAUCAGAGCCAGAUGAGAUUGAACUGGAUCACCUGAAGCAACAAACACAACUGUUCAUGGAGCACUUAAGGACAAGACUCCUCAGAUCUGGACUGGAUUCAAGGUGUCUCUAACACAGUCAGAUAAAGUAAAGAACAGCAUUGUGCCUUCUCUAUCUUAUUCAGAUAUCUAGUGUAAAUGUUACUUGAAGUGUCCAUAGUACACAUAAUACUAAAAGCUGCUACAUGA